CGUUCCCGGGCCUUGUACACACCGCCCGUCACGCCAUGGAAGCCGGAAGUGCCCGAAGUCCGUGACCCAACCCUAGGGAGGGAGCGGCCGAAGGCAAGUUCGGUGACUGGGGCG
RNAcentral lists this ribosomal RNA (114 nucleotides) under uncultured bacterium. Its description in RNAcentral is "partial 16S ribosomal RNA". It matches the Rfam family "Bacterial small subunit ribosomal RNA", at positions 1369 to 1482 of the family's 1533-position model. The record is from RNAcentral.